Molecule: ribosomal RNA, 2154 nt
Filed under: Triticum aestivum (bread wheat)
Lineage: Eukaryota; Viridiplantae; Streptophyta; Magnoliopsida; Poales; Poaceae
Description: partial small subunit ribosomal RNA
Source: RNAcentral
AGGUACUUCUUUGUGAUCGAUGACAUAUGGGAUAUACGAACAUGGGAAAUGAUUAAAUGUGCUUUCAUGGACAGUCAUCCAGAAAGUAGAUUAAUCAUAACUACUCGUCUUGUUUAUGUUGGCACAAAAGCUGGUGGUAUCUACAACAUGGAACCACUUUCUAGUGAUAACUCAGAAUUAUUAUUCUAUACAAGGACAUGUGGUGGUGAAGGACUAACUUCAUCUAACCAACAUGUUGAGGUGACUAACAAAAUUUUGAAGAAAUGUGGCGGUGUGCCAUUAGCUAUCAUUACAAUUGCUAGCUUGCUUGUUGGAAAGCAGAGUGAGGAUUGGUCUAAGGUGUAUGACGCCAUUGGUUUUGGGCAUGAGGACAGCGAAGUUGUUCAGAACACAAGAAAGAUAUUGUCUUUUAGUUAUUAUGAUCUACCUCCGUAUCUGAAGACAUGUUUAUUGUAUCUAAGCAUGUUCCCUGAAGAUAGCUUUAUUGAAAAAAACACACUCAUAUGGAGGUGGGUCUCUGAUGGUUUUGUCCCAGAUAGGUCCUUUCAGUUAGGAGAGAGCUAUUUCAGCAAGCUAGUAAAUAGAAGCAUGAUCCGGUGGAUAGAUCGUGAUGAUAUUUUGAAUGGCGAAAGUGGUUGUCGUGUGCAUGACAUGGUGCUUGAUCUCAUCCGCACCAUAUCAAAUGAAGUAAACUUUGUUACAGUACAUGAUAUGGAGCAUCACGUCACAUGUCCAGGAGGAAAGUCAACCAACAAGGUUCGCAGAGUAGCAGUACAUGGAAAAGGUGGGGAACACAACUCUUGCAUUGCAAUGGAGCAUGUAAGGUCAUUUUAUGUUGUCAAGUGCAGUGCCAAUAGGAUGCCCCUACUUUUGAGCUUUAAAGUACUGCGUGUGCUAGUUAUUGAGGACUAUGUUUUUUCAGAAGGUAGUAGUCUUGAGCAUCUCGGUAAGUUGGUGCAGUUGAGGUACCUAGGGCUAGUGAAGACAGCAGUCAAAAUCCCGGAAGGAAUAGGGCAUUAUCUGAAGUUUCUUGAGAUACUGGAUGUAAGGGGAGGUUUGAUCAGUGAGCUGCCCCCAUCUGUUGGUGAGCUAAUGAAUUUGAGGUGCUUGUGGGCUGAUAACGGUACAGUGAUGAAGGGCGAGAUAGGGAAACUGACAUGCCUUGAAGAGCUGCAACUAUAUUCAGUGGAGAAGUGCCCAAACUUCGUCACAGAGGUGGCGAAGCUGACAAAGUUAACGGUGCUCAAGAUCUUUUUCCAUAAAAUAGAGCAGUCUGCAGGCAAGGCUCUGAUGGAAUCUCUGCGCAACCUGCACAAGAUCCAUAAUUUGAGGAUCUUGGAUGAUGGUCGUGAGGCUAUGUAUUCGGUUGUCCUUAAUGAUAGCUUGGAAGACUUGGCACCCUGUACAAAGCUGUACGAUUUAAUUCUGACUGUCAUAGUUAUACCGAGGGUGCCAUCAUGGAUCAAUCAUUUAAGAGUUCCACUCCUUUCUUGUCUAUGGCUGAAAGUGGAUAUGGUAGAAGUUCGGGAUGUUCAAACCAUCGGCAGGUUGUCGUCACUUCUCGUCCUUGGUCUCUGUAGUAAGGAUGAAAAGAGCAUAUCAUAUACUUUUUGCAGCAAUGAGUUUCACAAGCUGAGACUGUUGUACACGAGGAAGAUAGAGAUUGUUGUUGGAGAAGGAGCAUUGCCGAUGCUUGAAUGCCUGGGAUACAGUGCAAGCGCUGGAAGAAAGGAUGCUGCCAGCUUGGUGCAGUGGAGGAGAAAUAUCUGCCCUUUGCUGAAGUAUGUCACCUGUUACCUUGACUGCACUAACAGCAGCUACAGGGAAGUAAGGCAAGCGAAGCAAGCGCUAAGGCAGGCUUCAGGCACCCAUCCCAAUCUUGAUCUCUACAUACAAAAAAAGAAUUACGAUAAGGAGGCAGGUAUGCUCAUUGAUAAUCUCGAGUGGAUCCUACGUGGUUUGGACAGACCCGAGGAUAUGGGCCGUCCUCCUGCACACCAGGAAGGAAGGAUACGUCGCAUGAAUAGAUCACUCGAGAGAAGAUUACGUGACCCGCGGAGCCUCGGGUCGGGAGGUACGGGGAACAAGAAAUACAAGGCCUUGUUACCAAAUUCAAGAGUUGGCUACAUGAUCAUGCAGGCACCGACCAGGAUG